RNA transcript from Athene cunicularia (burrowing owl), 9473 nucleotides. It is a transcript of the gene named solute carrier family 9 member B2, with no coding region annotated. The record is from RefSeq and is a predicted model, not a curated record. The transcript has 13 exons. NCBI's taxonomy places the organism in Eukaryota, Metazoa, Chordata, Aves, Strigiformes, Strigidae.
AAUGGUAAAAGAGAAUAUUGUAAAUGAUGAUGAAGAUUCUGAGCCAUCAGUAUGUGAGAGAAAUGGCAUGAUUCCCAUGCAUGAGCAAAGUGAAGAGGGACGACCAACAGUAGGUGCCAAAGGUACUGAUGGGAAUAUACAAACAGAAGAAACUGCUCUCUUGAAUCGUGCUCAGCAACUUCCAGAACCAGUAGCAGGGUCUUCAAUACCUGCAAGAACAUGGAGACAGAUAUUUACUUGUCCUCCUCAAGGUUUACUGGCCCAAACAGUGACAAAUGUUGUAAUCGUGAUCCUGGUUUGGGCUGUGGUUUGGUCCAUCACUGGGACUGAGUGUCUCCCAGGUGGAAAUCUGUUUGGAAUUCUCUUUCUUUAUUUUUUUGCUGUCAUUGGAGGUAAAAUUUUUGGAUUCAUUAAAAUACGGACAUUACCCCCUCUCCCUGCUCUUCUGGGGAUGCUACUUGCUGGUUUCCUCAUCCGAAAUACCCCGUUCAUUAGUGACAUUGUCCAGAUAAACCUGCGCUGGUCUGCUGCACUGAGGAAUAUUGCUCUGUCAAUUAUCUUGACCCGAGCAGGACUUGGCCUGGAUCCAAAGGCUCUUAAGAAGCUCAAAGCAGUCUGUUUACGGCUUUCUUUUGGACCGUGCAUCUCAGAAACAUGCACAGCUGCUGUUCUUGCCUACUUGUUCAUGCAUUUGCCAUGGCAAUGGGGAUUUAUAUUGGGUUUUGUUCUAGGUGCAGUCUCCCCUGCUGUGGUGGUUCCCUCAAUGCUGAUUUUACAAGCUGGGGGAUAUGGGGUGGAGAAAGGUGUCCCAACUUUGCUAAUGGCAGCUGGCAGCAUUGAUGACAUUAUGGCUAUCACAGGCUUCAACACUUGCCUUGGGAUGGCUUUCUCUUCCGGUUCUACUCUGUACAAUGUGCUCCGUGGAGUGCUGGAGGUUGCUGUUGGCAUAGCAGCUGGGGGGAUUCUGGGAAUGUUUGUUAGAUAUUUCCCAAGCCAUGAUCAGGCAUCUCUGGCAUGGAAGAGAUCAUAUUUUGUACUUGGACUGUCCAUGUUUGCUGUUUUUGGCAGCAUCUACUUUGGCUUCCCUGGAUCAGGAGGGCUCUGCACAUUAGUCUUAGCUUUUGUUGCAGGUGUGGGAUGGUCUGAUGAAAAGAGAGAAGUAGAAAAAAUUGUUGCAGUUGCAUGGAAUAUCUUUCAACCUUUUCUUUUUGGUUUAAUUGGAGCAGAAGUAUCUGUUAAGUCUCUUAGGCCUGAAACUGUUGGGCUCUGUGUUGCUACAUUAAGCAUUGCCCUAGUUGUGCGAAUCAUAGCAACGUUCCUGAUGGUGUGUUUUGCUGGGUUUAAUUUCAAGGAGAAAGUAUUUGUCUCAUUGGCAUGGAUUCCCAAAGCCACUGUCCAGGCUGCAAUAGGUUCCCUCGCCCUGGAUACAGCGAGAAGUCAUCAGGAUGAGCAACUGGAAAAGUAUGGAAUGGAUGUGCUGACAGUAGCUUUCUUAGCAAUCUUGAUCACUGCUCCAAUUGGAGCUCUGGUUAUUGGCUUGGCAGGGCCCAGACUUCUGCAGAAGGCUCAGACAAAUAGCAAGGAGGAUGAGGAAGGUGCUGAGGUUGGCGAAGAGGCAGAUGCCUGUGAACCUUCGUAAGGCAGACGUCUACAGGAAUGUGGUGCUUCAAUCCUUACACUUCUGUUGAGUAAACACGGCAAGUCUGUAAUCUUUCUGGAGGAAACCCAAAUGAGUAUGUUACAUCUGCUAUUUUAAAAGCAGCCCCGGUGGAGUUUUAUAAAAUAUUUGUAUAUGUUGAUGGUGCCUUAAGAGAUGCAAUAGCUGAACAUACAGUAAAUAGGCUGGCCAGGCGGUGAGUCACUGGGAAGUCAGCAGUCAACAGUUACUUGAAAUAUGUGGGUGUGAGGCCAGGGAGAGGAUCAGAAUUGUUCAGGCAUGGAGUGGAGUCAUGAGGUGGAUUAUAAACAGAAGAAAACGGAGACUAAUGUGAAUAACUUCUUGAUGGCUGAAACUGGGCCAUGAGAUGACAAGUUCAGCAGCUCAAAGAAUGCAACUUCUGAGUAAGAGACUGCUGACACAAUGAAUGAGUCCUGCCGUGGGUUGGCGAUUCUCUCUCCUUCAUUUGGGUUCCAAAACUUGCCUUUUCCUAUUGCUGCUCUUCCUCACAGCUCAUGCACUCCUUUGUGCCUUCACAGGACUGUCAGCUCUGGUUGUAGCAAGAAACAGCAAGUGGCACUUAUGUGCUGAGACAGUUGGGCCCAUCACGGACUGUGGUAGCGCAGGUGUUGCUAGUGCUGGUAGAAAAAAGGACUGAGCUUGAAAAUGGUGUAAGGGUUGUGGAAGGCUGUAAGGACUGGGCAAGGGUUGUAUGGGAUUGGGAUGGCUGCUUCUGAACCUGUGUACCUCAGCCUUCGCACAACAUGAUGUCAAGGGAGGGAAAGCCAGCUCUUCAGCCACUGAGGGUGGCUAUGUUCUGGUGCUGGCCACUAGGACAGCAGGGAGAGCGCUUCUCAGGUGGAGUUUGCUGGCAGGGCAACACCACCAAGGUGGCAAUGAGGUGGCACCUAUCUUCCUCAGCUCCUUUUGGGGAACUCAGUAAUACCAGCAGACCUCUUCCUAAAUCAAGAUUCAUGGGUCAGCCACAAUCUCCUGUUGCUUUGUCCUAAGUUAUUACACAUCAGGCUGAGAAAAUGGCAUGAUCAGGUCCUUCUCAUGUCUGCAUUUGGGUAACUGCAGCAAAGAAAACCAGGUAUUUUCUAAAAAUAUAGCCAGUUAGUGCUCAUUUUUCCAAGAGGUGGCUGGCUGGAUUGAAUCUGGAGAUGGAGGCCUCUCAGAUUGCCAGGGCAUUUUUUCCCUCUGACUGAUGCAGAAAACUAAUAGACUGUAAAUGAACAGCCUUGAAAAUGCAGUGCUGAGGGAAGGUAGAAAGUGAGAGGAGCUGUAUUCCCACCUGCCUUCAGAAGGGUUGCUGUGUGAAGGCAGGUGUCAUGAGGAAGCAGUGUUUAGGACACAGUGCUGGCACCCUCAGCAUGUACCCACAGAUCCUGUGGGUCUUUCCAGAAACACAAGUUGUGUGUGGCUGUGGAUUGUGGUAGUGACUGGCAAUAACUCAUGUCUAAUAUCUUGCCAAAACAUUUCACCAGGGGGAGCAAAAAGCUCAAAUGUGGUUUUCAUGUUAUUUAAUAUAGAUGCCUCCUGCACAGUCAGUUGCAAUAUAGUUCACAUUUGAUUCUGCCAUUCCCAGAGGAGUUUCCUUUCUCUUCUCCUUGACUGUCCUAAAGCCAGGAGUAAACCUCUCUGUUGAUCAAAAUUCUGCUCUUGCCUUUAGCUUUGGUAUCAGUUAGGGUUUAGUAUUGACAGAUACCAUAAAAUCUUUCUUACUCUGACACGUUUUGUACAAGUAACUAGCUCCAAGUAGGUCAUUCCCAGCUCCUUUCUCAGGCAUAGAGUCAGUACAGCAUCCCUCAGAAACUGGAAGUUUUAUUUUGUUACUUUUUAGUAUGUUAGAUGGUGCCUGUAAUCAAGGUGGACAACCCCUCCCUGUAGAUUUCUACAUUGCAGUUCACUGAACUCAUUUUACAGGAUACUGUAUAGAAUAGAUUUGUUGAGUCUAGCUAUUUGGGGCAUUAAGUAAGAAUUAAUCAAUUCUCUUUUAGGUUUUACACUUUUAAUAUGUAACACAAGAAUGUACUGAAAUAUUUUUAAAAGAAAACUAUCUGAAACUGUACUAUUUGCAGAAUGUCCACAUAGGGCUCUGUAUGCAGAUUAAUUACAUCUCAGUAUGGGUGGCUUUUAUAUGCCUUCCUUUCCAAGUCAAAAAGAAAGCUUCCUGAGAAAUAUUUAAGGUUCAUAGCCUGCAGUUCCAGCACAGUGAUAAAAAUACCAAGAAAUUCUUUGGUGAGUUUUCCCUUAACAUUGACAUUUUUCUUACUAUACAUACUGCUGUUCUCUCCACUUCCUCGGGGAAUGUGCAGUUCAUGUUUGUCCCCUGACGAGAAGGGAAGAUGCUUUCACACUGUGCACUGAUGGAUGGUUAGGGUCCUGUGCUUGAUGGAUAUUGUGUCAGCCACUGACCUCUGUGGCUGUUCUGCCUACUUUGCAUGGCUAACAGAGGCACUCUGUUACUUAAAUGGGCUAGUGUUAAUAUUGUAUUUGGAAAUUAUUGUUAUUUGAAAGUUACUGUAUUUGGAAAUUGUAACGUCUGUAAACCUCACUGCUAAGAUGAGGGAAUAUGAUGUUCAAUUUAUUACAGGCUACUGUCUGUAAUUCUACUCGAGUAAAACUUACAGGAGUAGAAGCUUUAUGAAGUUCACUUUUUCAUUAAGUUUUAUAAAAAGUAAAAUCCUCUUGCAGGGAGGAAUCACAGUGCCAAAUUUGGUGUCUGUUCAAUAACAGAAGCGUGAUAUGGAAGGAUUAUAGCCCUUUAACUUUGAACACAACCCCUGACAAACAGCCCUUGCUCAUGAUAGCCUCUAAUACUUGCUCACCAUCAUAACAGUAUCUUAUAAAUUGGAUUUAUCAUGUUCCCUUAACCUCAGCACACUCUCAAUUUAUUCAUUAGAUCACUCCCACCACUGAGUGUUUGAAUAGCUAUACCAGUGAAAAGCGUCAUCUUGUUCACUAAUCUAAACGAAAUUGAAUCAAUUUGCCUUUCCUUACCACCAUAUGUGGAUGUUUCUCACAAGAUCCCUUUCCUCCAGCUUUUAUUAAAUCUUCUAAAAGAAUCAGGUUGAAGCUAUUACACAGACCUGCAGAUCUAAAAUGAAAGGCAUUAAUGUUUAUAAUGCACCUUUCCUUGCCUUCCAGAAAGGACCAAAAUGCAGCUUGAAAAUACACAACUGAAAUGACAGUCAUGAAAAUGUUAUCCUGGAGCUAAAAACCUAGGAGACUUGGGUUUUUUAAUAAAUAUCAUUACAAUUUCAGCUGAUUUUAAAUAGCAGUUAACUUUGAGAGAUAUGAUUCCACUUUUUACACUUUUUAUCAGUUUGGAUGGGUGAAGUCAUGACACUUAAGAACACCUCCCUUUUAACAAAAUGCCGUGAAAUCAUUCAUCAAUAAUGCAUAAAUUCAAGCCAAUAAAAUCUUUAUGCCAUGUCAGUCUUUUAUUUGCAGGAAAUAAAAUUAGAGCCCAACAUGCAGUACACUGUAACCAGAGGAGUCCUGCUGUCACACAGACAUGAUCACAGCAUAAUGGGGGAGAGUAUUAAGCACAGUGUGUGUGCACUGUUCCAGAAGGUUUGCAAGAACCUCUGCAGCAGAAAGCUCUGACGGCACAGCACGUUCCUGGUGGCUAGCAGCGGGCAGAGUUACAGAAGGCAGCAUAUGGGAAAACAAAGAAAUGGGCCAUCUGGAAGCAGGGAGUUGCACAGGCCAGGGGAUGCAGGGAGCUCUGUUUGCUCAGGGAUUUGUCUGAGUUUCUACAGUUUCUACAAUACACAGAAAAAGAAGAGAGUCCUGAGAUCAGCUGAUAACUCAGAAUUCAGCAAUUACAUUGACUCUGGAGAUUCUUUACCAGUUCUGCUGCAUGGGAAGAGACAGUCUCUGGAGCCAGAAACAAACAGUAGAGUAUCGAACAGGUUAGUCUUCAAACUUGACUUGUGUUAGACAGAGACCAAUCCCAAAGAUAUGUCCUGGAAAGUAUCGGGAACAUCACUGAAACAGGAAUGCCCAGAGAAUUUCAAGAAGCUGAGGCCACAGACCAUAGGCCACAAUUAUAUUUUCAAGGAGAGGCUGUCUUAAUGUUUAGUCCCACAGUAACAAGUCAAAAAAAAAUAAGAAACAGAUACACUGUCAUCAGAAAGAGACUGGCCAGCUACUGAGAGUCAAGUCAAAGCAAGUGAUACCUGCUUGUCUUUCACCAGCUACUCUUUUGAUAUCUUUCACUUUAUAUUUUAGCUAAUUUAUGUAGAAAUGACUCUAUGCAGACCCAAAAGCAGCUUCUUACAGUAAGAGCUCUACUGAAAGCCAAAAUUUUAAUAAGUAUCAGCUAUCAGUCAAAAACAAAGGUUGGAACUGUGACUGUAUAUUCUCUAAACUGAUGAAGUUCUUCAUGCAAAUUCAAAUUACUUAAUUCCAUUCUCUUCAGCACUGAGCUCUAUCUUAACUGUUGGCUGUUGUUUGCCUGAGUCUCUUAAGGGUGUUCUCAUCCCUACACAAACACAAAGGACUCCACAUGACACUUCAAUGUCUAUUAGCUUAUGAGGGUAGAGAGGUGACGGUGCUUUUAGCAACACAGCACACCUUGUAUAAAUUAAAAGCCAAACCUACAGGUAGGUUAGCAAGCCACUCUGCAAAUGACAAAUUCAUGGUUCAAGUCAGUACUGAAGACUGUUAUCAUGGUAUCACCCUUCUUUUCCUCAGUACUGUAAAAGAUGAUCCACAAAACUGUCCUCUUCCUGCCUGGCAGCACAGUCCAUUAAAGUCCUUCUUAACAUGCAGGCCAAAUGUAAAACAGGACUGUGUCAUGUUUAUGGAAAGAAGCCUAGCACUUAGAUAAACCCUGAAAUGUGUUGAAAUGUGUUUAGCACAUAAACCCUGAAAUUCUCAACACAUGUGAUUUUGAAGUGAAUGUCUAUGCCAUUGUAAUGACAUACCAGGAUAAAAAGCAACACCAGCAUGAGAAAACACUACUCAUUUCAACGAACUUGAGAAGGGAAAAGUAAAGCAGCUAUGACAAGACACUGAGAGAGGCUUCAGAGCAGUAGCAGCAUGACAACUUAGAUAUCCACUUUCAAGCCCAAGGUCAAACAUUCUUUCCUUCCUCCCUCAUUGCUUUUACCUUCAGGAUUUUUGCACUGGUAACAGUCUUACUCUCUCCAAGCAAGCAGUCUUCCAUUGUGAUUUGAGGUCACGACAGAGAGCAGGGUCUCAAGAGUUUUAAUCAGCACACUAUACAAAAGGAUCCUUCCUAUACUCCUGGUCUGCUGUUUCUACAGCUGAUGCACUACAGGAACUGAAGUUGCAUCUGCCUGGACACUAAUGAAGGUUUACCAGAGCAAUGAAAGAGCUAGUAAGCAAAGGACUUCACUGUUCCAGAUUUGGGAUCUGCCUUGCCUUCGUGAACAAAGUAUAUGCUAGCAAGUGUUUUAUAGUGCUGGUCCCUGACUAAAUUCAGUAGCUGUCACCAAAGGUCAAAUACUAAUGAACUUGAAGUGUUUUAAGAUCAAUAUUAUUUCUCACUUUCCAAAAAGAAGCAAAGAAAUAUGUUUCACAUAUUUGAUAUGUCAUUUGCCAAAGAAUAUGCUGCUCUGUAAUUUGUAGGAGUAAUAAACACAAGAGAAUAUUAAUCUAAUCUUCUCUAUUGUCUAAUAGUCUUUCACUAACACUAAUUCAAUAGAUAUGAUCCUGUAAAUUGCUGCUGCAAAAGAACUCCCAGAAUUGGGAAUCCCUUGCUUUUAGAGGCUUAUGACUUUAGGACAGGACAGACUAAGUCCACAACAAUACAGAAGAGGCGGCACUUGCUGAAACAAGCUGGUUUUCUCAGAUGAGACUUUAGACAGACAGCACUCUGAGCGCAGAUAAGUACAAGACUCUUCAGUGAGCAAUGAGGUUUCAAUGACUUUCAGUAACUUUUAAGCACUGAGAGGAUCAUUUUUUAAUUUAUGUGCCUAAAAUGUGGUGUCCUAUGAUUUCCUUUUGAAAACCCUCACCAUGUUGCGUUUACCCUAUACCAUAACUUUAAGUCCCUUGUACACUAUUGCUGUUUUUUUCUCCAUUUUCAUUCAUGUCCACCCCAAGAGGAAGAUAUAUAAGCAUGACAGCAGAUAUCAGUCUAGUCUAGCUGACUGUUGAAAAAAAUGACAAGUGUAAAAACAUUGUGUCUAUGGCUAUGUAUUUUAAUUAUUCCUGUUUCCCCUUCUUAGAGUGCUUAGCACAAGACCGGUCAAAGAAAUCACUAAGAUUUCAGAUAUGCUCAUUAAAUCCUACCAAGUCUCAAAGCAAUUGCUAACUCAGCUCCUUCUUUUACCUUUGUUUAAUAUUUUUGGAACUGACUUUUCACAUUUGGUCUCCACUUAAAGUUUCAGUUGUUUGCUUCUUGCCCUCCCUCCAAAUUCAAGUAAAUACCUGUCAGUGGGGUAAGGAACAUGACAGCAAACCAGUUCUACCCUACUAAUCAUUCUAUUAAAAAAAAGUUCUGACCAGAGGUUUCCAAAAUAAAUUAUAAUUGCUACUAUGUGAUGUGAAUAAAUACAGAGACUGCACAAAUAAUCCUGUUACCAGAACAGUAGUUUGGACAAGUGAAUCAAGAGAUUAAACCCAAGCAUUACUAAGCUUAUCAAAUUUUAAGUACAACUUGUGGUUAAAAGGGCAACGACUUAAGUAGGACUGCCAAAUGCUAGGAAUAUGAGAAGCUGCAUUGUUCUGUAGCUUAAUGUAUCCCAUUCCUCCCAACUUGGUAGUAGCUGAGUUCCUCUAUUUGAUAUAUAUAAUUAACAGCAUUUUCAAAUGACAGAGUAGUUGUGGAGAAAGAAGAACUGGUUUCCUUGUGGUGGGAAAGAUAACGGGACUUUACAAGCAGCAUAAACAUGCUGGAAAAGAAGUACUCAAACCUGUUUAUAAAUAAAUUGUGCUUGUUCUAAACGAAAUCAUUUUCCAGUUAUUAAAGUCAUAUACUUUAGUGCUGCAAGAUAAACACAGGUGGUUGAUUCUACACCUUGAAGGCUUUUUCUAGUUCCAGAGUUAAAGCCGGGCUGUUAGAGCGUUCCUCUUAUUUAUUAUCACCGAACUAACCUUGUCAUUUGACAUUACUUGAGAUUCUGCCUGUAUUAGCACAGCUGAGCCUGGGCUCACAUAGUUCCAGUUUGCAAAGCACUGAAAUGCACUGAACACCUAAAGAGUUUGCUAGUUACUUAGUUCUCUUGUUUGUUCUGUCAUAGGGCUAUGAUUAAUGAAUAGGUAUUUUCACUCCCUUGCCCAGAAAAUGCUUAUAAAAGUUAUUUAAUAAAACCCCUAAGCUUGUGUAUGUAGCAGGCUCCCAUAAACAGGUCUGGUUUUGUGGGUUUUCUUAAACUGUAUAGAUACUCUCUUUAGCCUUUUAAGCAAAUGAAGAGGCAAUAAUUUAAGUCUUGAGCUAAAAUCCCAUUUUCUUUACGUGCAUGGCCUCUGACUUGCUGCUACUUGCACAGAGAGGAUUUUUAAUUACAAUGCAAACGAGCUGGGGCCAAGAAGCCUGGUAGGUUUUACUCUAUCACUACAUUUUACUCUGUUAUCAUUCCUCAUACGGCAUCUUAAACGUCCUGUCGUGUAAUUUUCCUGCUGGAACAGUUUAACGGCAAUUUAAGGUUUGGGGUUCCCCCUUUCUCUAGCAGAUAACUUGCUUAGCACGGCCGGGAGAAAGCCAGCCAUGCCUGGAACGAGGGGUGGAAGUCGCAGCCCCACAUUGGACAGGCCCAAGGGAUGGGUCGGAGCCCCGGCGGGCCCCAGUGCCCAGGCACCCCUCACGCCGACCGGACAGGCCCGAGCGGGCCCUGCC